This 2811-nucleotide ribosomal RNA is filed under the name Triticum aestivum (bread wheat). Its description in RNAcentral is "partial small subunit ribosomal RNA". The record is from RNAcentral. Lineage: Eukaryota; Viridiplantae; Streptophyta; Magnoliopsida; Poales; Poaceae.
AUGGCGGAGGCUAUACUCCAUGCUUUGUCAAAGAUUGGGUCAGUCGGUUUGAAUAAUGAAGUAUCAGCUGUCAGAAAGAAGUUGUCGAAGAAAGUUGCUAGCCUAUAUGAAUUGCCAGUCAAGAUCGAAGAAUUUGGGGUACAGCUAAAGGCGAUGAAUAAUGUAAUGCGUGAUUUUGGCACAACACAUCUCACCAAUAAUGUCAUCAAGGGUUGGAUUGCAGACGUCCGGAAGCUGGCCUACCAUGUUGAGGAUGUAAUUGACAGGUACUCGUAUGAGGCUCUCAAGCUCAAGGAAGAUGGCUUCCUACGCUGGUACGACAUCAGAAGUUCACGCCACAUAACGGUUUUCAGUAUAAUUCUUGAAGAUGUCAUACAGAUAGAGGAGGAGAUCAGAUGCGUCAUAGAAACGCGAAAAUUAAUUCUUGAAGAUGUCAUACAGAUAGAGGAGGAGAUCAGAUGCGUCAUAGAAAUGCGAAAUUACGGGAGUAUAACAGUCCAGUCCAGUGAAAAUGAGGAUGCAGACAUUGGUAGGAAGAAGCCUGAAGGUUCCUUUCCAGAGCUUGUUAGUGAUGAGGAUCUUGUGGGAAUUGAUGAAAACAGGAGUAAGUUGACUGAAUGGCUGACCACCAAUGAGGAAGAAACCACGCUGAUAACAGUUUCUGGAAUGGGAGGCUUGGGAAAAACUUCCCUUGUGAAAACUGUGUAUGAUCGGGAGAAAGACAAUUUUCCUGAUGCUCAUGCUUGGAUUGUGGUGUCAGAAAUAUAUAAUGUAGUUGAUUUGCUAGCGAAACUGCUCACCAAGAUACAACGGCAGUCACCGCCGAGUGUUGACGUGGCCUUGGGCCAUCACGCUGAUGUCUAUGAGUUAACAGAGGCAAUACAGAAGACAUUGCAAGACAGGAAAUGCUUGAUCGUGCUUGAUGAUGUGUGGGAAAGAGAAGCAUAUACUCGGAUGUGCAAUGCAUUUCAGGGUCUCCAAGGAAGCCGUGUUAUGAUCACAACACGGAGGGAAGAUGUUGCUGCUCUAGCUCCUCGGGGACGUCGCCUGCUACUCCAGCCCUUGGGUAGCGUCGAGUCAUUCAAACUCUUUUGUUCAAUAGCUUUCCACAACAACAGCCCUGCCUGCAAGUGCCCUCCGGAGCUUGAGAAGGUGGCAGCUGCUGUAGUCCGGGGAUGUCAUGGCCUGCCAUUGGCCAUUGUAUAUUCUGGCCGCGUAUUGUCCGCGAAGGAACAAACAGAGCACACCUGGAAUCAGAUAUACAACCAUCUCUGGAGCGAGCUGCAGGGAAAUGACCAUGUCCAAGCCAUACUUAACCGGAGCUACAAUGACUUGCCGGGUUAUCUCAGGAACUGUUUCCUUUACUGCACCUUGCUCCCUCAAGGCCAACCAAUGCCACGGGAGAGCCUUGUGCGGCUAUGGAUCGCUGAAGGAUUCACGAGAAAGAGAGAAGAUUGUACUGCAGAGGAAGUGGCGGAGGAGUGUCUCAUGGAACUCAUCGACCGGAAUAUGCUGCAAGUUGUGGAGCGGGAUGAGCACUUUAGGGUUAGUACCUGUAAGAUGCAUGACAUUGUGCGAGACCUGGCUCUCGCUGUUGCGAAAGAGCAGAGGUUUGGCUCCGCAAAUGACCAGGGCGAAUUGAUGCUCCUGGACACAGAUCAAGUUCGUUGGUUCUCGACAUGCGGUUGGAGUGACAGCAAUAACACAGCUCCAGGAGGAGUCAAAUUUACACGACUCCGCACGUUGGUGUCGAUUGGGUCUUGUAGCAACAUGCUUUCCUCAGUUUUCUCUGAAUCCAUCUAUCUUACUGUUCUCGAGCUUGAAGACUCUCCAAUCAACCAAGUACCAGCAUCCAUCGGGAAUCUGUUCCAUCUCCGCUACAUUGGCUUAAGGCGCACCCAGGUUAGGUCUCUUCCAGACACUAUUGAUAAACUCUCAAACCUAGAGACACUGGACCUCAAGCACACAAGAAUAGAAAAGCUACCGUCAGGAAUUGUCAAGGCCGAGAAGCUACGUCACCUUUUUGCUGACAGGUACGCUGAUGAGAAGCAGACGGAGUUCCGAUACUCGGUCGGAGUGGAAGCGCCUAAGAUGAUUUCCAGGUUUCAACAGCUGCAAACCCUCGAGACCGUCCAUGCCAGCAAAGACGUAGCGCUACAGCUGAAGCACAUGCACGGGUUGCAGACUGUUUGUAUUGAUAGCAUCGAUGCAUCUAGUUGUGACGACCUUUUCCGUGCCCUCUCCUGUAUGCCCCAACUUUCAAGCUUACUCUUGUCAGCAAGUGAUGAGGAGGAGGCACUUUCUUUCAAAGCAUUCGAGCCAACUUCGACCAGUCUCCGCACGCUAAUCGUCAGAGGUGGCUGGUUCAUGGCGGGACUCAGUUGCCCAAUAUUUCAGGAGCUUGGGAGGUAUCUCAAGUACCUGGCUCUAAGCUGGUGCGAUCUUGAGGAAAAAGACCCUCUGCCGGUGCUGGCAUGUCACGUACCGGCGCUCACUUAUCUCAGCCUUAACAGGGUGAGCAGUGAAGGCAUAUUGGUUCUUUCUGCUGGGUGCUUUCCGCUGCUCAAGACGCUCGUCUUAAAGCGCAUGCCUGAUGUGAAGCAGUUGGUGAUUGAAGAGGGUGCCAUGCCGUUGGUUGAUGGGAUCUACAUCACGACACUCUUGGGGAUGAAUGCUGUCCCUGAUGGCAUUGAUACCCUUGGAUCCUUGACCAAGUUGUGGAUGCUGGAUCUGCACAGGGAGUUCAAGGCUGACUGGACUCAGAAGCAGAUGGAUGACAAGAUGAAGCAUGUUUCAGACCUCCGCGUUUAG